GUGCUCACUUUGGCAGCACAAAUUCUAAAACUGGAACGAUACAGACAAGAUUAGCACGGCCCCUGCNCGAGGAUUUCAUGCAAAUNCGCGAAGCAUUCCAUAAUUUA
This 107-nucleotide small nuclear RNA is filed under the name Salvator merianae (Argentine black and white tegu). Lineage: Eukaryota; Metazoa; Chordata; Lepidosauria; Squamata; Teiidae. The record is from RNAcentral.